AAAAAUCCGGGAAGACUUAACAGUGAGGCGCAAAGCAGUAAGCCGAAUGGCUGAAAGCUGCUGAUUUCAUGCUGCCAAGAAAAACCUCUAAGGAGAGAGAUUGGGAACCGUACCACAAACCGACACAGGUAGACGAGGAGAAUAUCCAAAGGCGCUCGAGUGAAAGCUUGUUAAGGAACUCGGCAAAUUAGACCCGUAACUUCGGGAGAAGGGUCGCCAUCGAGGUUCAUAGCCUCUGAUGGCCGCAGCGAAAUGCGAACGGCGACUGUUUAACAAAAACACAGGUCUCUGCAAAGUCUAAAACGACGUAUAGGGGCUGACUCCUGCCCGGUGCCGGAAGGUUAAAGGGAGAGGUUAGGGCGCAAGCUCGAAGCUUUGAACUGAAGCCCCGGUGAACGGCGGCCGUAACAAUAACGGUCCUAAGGUAGCGAAAUUCCUUGUCGGGUAAGUUCCGACCUGCACGAAUGGAGUAACGAUCGUUCGACUGUCUUAACGAGUUGCUCGGCGAACUUGUAGUACCGGUGAAGAUGCCGGUUACCCGCAGCUAGACGAAAAGACCCCGUGCACCUUUACUAUACUUUUACAGUGGUUUACGGCAAUUGCUGCGCAGGAUAGGUGGAGGCUUUGAUAUCGGACUUUUGGGUUCGGUGGAGCCAACGGUGAGAUACCACCCUGCGAUUGUUGUGAUCCUAACCUCCUCCCGUGAUCCGGGAGAGGGACAUUGUAAGACGGGUAGUUUGACUGGGGCGGUCGCCUCCUAAAUUGUAACGGAGGCGCGCGAAGCUACACUCAGGUCGUUUGGAAAUCGACCGUCGAGUGCAAAGGCAUAAGUGUGGUUAACUGCGAGACCUACAAGUCGAGCAGAUGCGAAAGCAGGCCUUAGUGAUCCGGUGGUUCUGUAUGGAAGGGCCAUCGCUCAACGGAUAAAAGGUACGCCGGGGAUAACAGGCUGAUCAUUGCCAAGAGUUCAUAUCGACGCAAUGGUUUGGCACCUCGAUGUCGGCUCAUCACAUCCUGGAGCUGUAGAAGGUUCCAAGGGUUCGGCUGUUCGCCGAUUAAAGUGGUACGUGAGCUGGGUUCAGAACGUCGCGAGACAGUUCGGUCUCUAUCUGCUGUGGGCGUAGGAGAUUUGAAGAGGGCUGUCCUUAGUACGAGAGGACCGGGAUGGACGAACCUCUUGUGUUCCAGUUGUCUUGCCAAAGGCACGGCUGGGUAGCGAAGUUCGGUUGUGAUAACCGCUGAAUGCAUAUAAGCGGGAAGCACGCUCUAAGAUGAGAUCUCCCAACCCGUAAGGGAAAUGAAGGGCCCAGGAAGACCACCUGGUUGAUAGGCUGGAGGUUGAAGCGCAGUAAUGCGUGUAGCUUACCAGUACUAAUCGCCCGUUCGGCUUGUC
RNAcentral lists this ribosomal RNA (1393 nucleotides) under metagenome. RNAcentral describes it as "bacterial LSU rRNA". It matches the Rfam family "Bacterial large subunit ribosomal RNA", at positions 1536 to 2925 of the family's 2925-position model. The record is from RNAcentral.